AUUGAGCGCUGGCGGCAUGCCUUACACAUGCGAGUCGAACGGUAACAGGUUAAGCUGACGAGUGGCGAACGGGUGAGUAAUACAUCGGAACGUGCCCAGUAGUGGGGGAUAGCCCGGCGAAAGCCGGAUUAAUACCGCAUACGACCUAAGGGUGAAAGGGGGGGAUCGCAAGACCUCUCGCUAUUGGAGCGGCCGAUGUCAGAUUAGGUAGUUGGUGGGGUAAAGGCCCACCAAGCCGACGAUCUGUAGCUGGUCUGAGAGGACGACCAGCCACACUGGGACUGAGACACGGCCCAGACUCCUACGGGAGGCAGCAGUGGGGAAUUUUGGACAAUGGGCGCAAGCCUGAUCCAGCCAUGCCGCGUGCGGGAAGAAGGCCUUCGGGUUGUAAACCGCUUUUGUCAGGGAAGAAAUCCUUUGGGUUAAUACCUCGGGGGGAUGACGGUACCUGAAGAAUAAGCACCGGCUAACUACGUGCCAGCAGCCGCCGUAA
RNAcentral lists this ribosomal RNA (493 nucleotides) under uncultured bacterium. Its description in RNAcentral is "partial 16S ribosomal RNA". It matches the Rfam family "Bacterial small subunit ribosomal RNA", at positions 29 to 523 of the family's 1533-position model. The record is from RNAcentral.